GCGUAUAUUAAAGUUGUUGCAGUUAAAAAGCUCGUAGUCGGAUUUCGGGUCGGGCCGAGCGGUCUGCCGAUGGGUAUGCACUGUUUGGCGCGGCCUUCUUUCCGGAGACCGCGGCUACUCUUAACUGAGCGGGGGCGGGAGACGGCACUUUUACUUUGAAAAAAUCAGAGUGUUUCAAGCAGGCAGCUCGCUCUUGCAUGGAUUAGCAUGGGAUAAUGAAAUAGGACUUUGGUGCUAUUUUGUUGGUUUCGAACACCGGAGUAAUGAUUAACAGGGACAGUCAGGGGCACUCGUAUUCCGUCGAGAGAGGUGAAAUUCUCAGACCAAUGGAAGACGAACCACUGCGAAAGCAUUUGCCAGGGAUGUUUUCACUGA
RNAcentral lists this ribosomal RNA (375 nucleotides) under uncultured Phaeocystis. RNAcentral's name for it is "SSU rRNA". It matches the Rfam family "Eukaryotic small subunit ribosomal RNA", at positions 597 to 976 of the family's 1831-position model. The record is from RNAcentral. Lineage: Eukaryota; Haptophyta; Phaeocystales; Phaeocystaceae.